AUUGAACGCUGGCGGCAGGCCUAACACAUGCAAGUCGAGCGGAGCGGGGGACGGGUGGGUAAUGCCUAGGAAUCUGCCUGGCAGUGGGGGAUAACGUACGGAAACGGGCCCUAAUACCGCAUACUAUCAGAUGAGCCUAGGGCGGAUUGGGGAGUUGGUGGGGUAAGGGCCUACCAAGGCGACGAUCCGUAACUGGUCUGAGAGGAUGAUCAGUCACACUGGAACUGAGACACGGUCCAGACUCCUACGGUAGGCAGCAGUGGGGAAUAUUGGACAAUGGGCGAAAGCCUGAUCCAGCCAUGCCGCGUGUGUGAAGAAGGUCUUCGGAUUGUAAAGCACUUUAAGUUGGGAGGCGUUACCAACAGAAUAAGCACCGGCUAACUUCGUGCCAGCAGCCGCGGUAAUUC
RNAcentral lists this ribosomal RNA (407 nucleotides) under uncultured bacterium. Its description in RNAcentral is "partial 16S ribosomal RNA". It matches the Rfam family "Bacterial small subunit ribosomal RNA", at positions 30 to 526 of the family's 1533-position model. The record is from RNAcentral.